Long non-coding RNA from Acanthopagrus latus (yellowfin seabream), 3261 nucleotides. RefSeq lists it as uncharacterized. The transcript is spliced from 4 exons. NCBI's taxonomy places the organism in Eukaryota, Metazoa, Chordata, Actinopteri, Spariformes, Sparidae. The record is from RefSeq and is a predicted model, not a curated record.
CUUCUGAGAGGAGCUGUCCGCCCUCACUCUGCCAAACCUCCGCCUGAAACACGACGAAGAUGUCGCUGGAUCCGGAGUGAACGUCCGCUGAAUAGUCGUCUUUAAAUUCACUCCAGCGCCGUGUAACAUUGACGAGCCCAAUGCACACAAUGUUCGGACGCUACUUGGAUAUUUUCGCACCCUUAAUCAUCUGUUGUUUUAUCAUCUGCUUUGUGACCUUGUGCUGCUUGUGCUGCAAGAGGUGUCGGAAAAGAGGAAACCAAAAUGUGAACGCCACCUUAGUCUACACACCACCCCAGCAGCCACUCCCCCCCUCUGGAUAUCAGCCAUGCUACCCAGGCUUCCAGCCUGUACCUGUCUAUGGAGGAUAUGGAGGCCCGCCCAUCACUGCAGGACCACCACCCUCAUACUUGGAAGCUGUCUUUUCAGGUGAUCCACCUCUGUUCCCAGCUGCAUCCGGUCCACCACAGCCGAUGUACCCCUACCCCUACCCCGGGCCACCUUAUGCACCGCCACCACCACGGUCAGAUGAACUGGCACAGCCGGCCUACAACCCCACUUAUGGUCCAGUCCCCUAAAACCAGCUCACUAGACCGAAACACUCCUUGUUUUAAAAACCCCGGUAGCACCACUGUUCUCACCGGAAUGUGAAAUGUGUGGCUUGUGUUGUUUUGAUACAGUGGAAACUCCCAUCUGAAUGAAAUACAGCAUAUCUCAGGAAUAUAUAUAUGAAAAUAUUUACAUAUAUUGUGUAUUUAAACCAGUAAAAUUCAUCACUUUAUCUUUCAGUGUAGACCCAUGUGAACACGAGCUUCAGGAUUGGCCAUUUGUCAGGACCAAGUUGUGGCGCUGUCAGAUGGACUGAAAUUGUAGCGAAGUUAUGAUGCCCCCUGUUGUGAUAAACCCCAGCAGCCACUAGAGGUCACCUCUGCCUCAGGGUUAUUCUCUUUAGACAGAGAGGGGCACAGAGUGGCUGAACGUUGUUUGCUGCAUGCAGGUGCCAGGUUGUGGUAUCAGUUUUUUAUUGUUACUUUGUAAAAGCCUAGUUUACUGUUUACUAAGUGAGUAGUUAAUUACUGAUAAAUGAAUAUUCAAGUAUUUAAAAAUCUUAAUUAAAGGUGCACUAUCCAGUUUUAGGGUGAACUUGGAAUCAGAGGAGAAAAAUCAUCAUUAUUUUAAUAAUUAAUUUUAACUGAAUAAACUGUUUUAAGACAAUUUCAUGGUAUUACAUUGUUCAUAUGUGCAAUAGGCUUCUAGCUAUGUUUUUAGCUUCACACAGUGUUCUGGGGACCUUAUUACCCCUCUGUCAAAGACUUAUACAUCAAAUACAUAUUUCUUACUGAUAUUGUGAAUGUUACUUUAAUUUGAAUUUCUUUCCUUUUAUCACCAAAACUACAUAGUGCACCUUUAAACAGCAUAAAAGCUUAGCAAAGGUUCAGCAGUGAUGUAAUAAGUAAGUAAGUUAAGCUCAAAACAUUCCAAAGUGUCUAGAGAGUGCAAACAAGUGUUUUUUAAAAGAGCUCAAAAUGUCUUAUAAUCUACAAAAAUCUGUGUAUUAUGCAGUGGAUUUUGUUCAUUGGCAUCUUAUAAAGAUGUUAAGGGGCCUUAUAACAAUUAACUAACACCAACACUUUCAAGGACUUUAAUACAAAGUGUCGCCACUGGGAAUUCUUGUUUCUUCCACUGCAUCAAAGCAAUGGAGACGUUUACUACCUUUGCUCCUUAAACUCACUUCUGGUAAACUUAGUUUGUUACAAAACCUGUAAAGUCGCAACUCACUGUCACGCCUGCAGUGAGGACAAAACCACCGGGCUCUGCUCAGUUUAGCCUCUUCCUGUGGGAUCACAUGCAGAUAAAUAGCCAUGGUGGGUGUGCUCACAUUUAAUCCCAUAAUAACCAGCGCCGCUCCCUCUUACAGCAUCCCACACUAUCCAUUAAUCAAUACAGUAAUAGUGCUGACUGUGGCUGUCUCAGUGAUCGUAGCGACCGGGGGGGGGGGGCUAUAACAGGAGAAAUGACCCUGCCCGUACGUACCGCUCCCUGCUCCAACAUCUAAAAUAAGAUCUCUCUCUCCUUGAAGUGCGGCUCGGACUGCUAAUGAGCACUGGUGUCGGGAUGCCCGUGUCAUGGACCAUGUGGCAAAUAAUCUUUACAGCCAGUUCUCCUCCUCUCCAUCCCUUUCUUCUCCUCUCUUUCCCUUUCUUCCAUCCCUCCCUCUGACCAGGCUUUGUUCUGUCUAAAGGCAUUUUUGUCUGGCCUCCUGCCCGAGCUGCCAUUAAGAUGUUUUCAGCAUUUUCUCGACGUCCCACACCAUUCCUCGCGUCUCUUCCCCUUUUUCUGUUCUGCUCAGAGGAAUCCCUUCUGGCAUUUACCGCAUGUAUCUCAUAUCAGAGAUCAAGAACAGACACGAUGCACGUCAGAAGUCAGCCUUUAUUGAUGAGAUUUUAAAUAGUGGGCUCUGCUUGCAGUGUGUGGGAGCACAAACUCCCUAAUGCGUGACAUCGCUCCUGCCAAGAUGCUCCUAGGAGAUACAAGCAUGCUGAACUCUCCCACACGCUCGGAUGGAAACACAAACAGACCGGACAGCAUUAUUCAUGUUUUGUUAUUUUUUUUAAAAAAUGUGCUCCAUCACCAAAGGUUGAGUGUUAAGAAAAAAAAAGUUUACAACAUUAUUUAUAUUUGAUAUUUUUACUGUCUUUUACCAUUUAACAUGUUUCUACUGACAUACAGAUAUUCUUUCCAAUAUGAGCCAUUACACUACCAAGAUUCUCUCUAGUGUUGUGUCUGUUGUGCUGUUAUUGUGAAGUUAUCUGUCCACGUUUGGACUGUUAUACAAAUGUUAUUUCAUUUUGCUGCCCCUUUUGAUCAGGACAAAUGAAGGUUUGACUCUGAUGAUCCUUAGACUUUCAUUUUUGUGCCACCAGCAGAUUGAAAUUUGUAUUUUUAGCAAAAUGUCCUGAUAACUUUUGGAAGUAUUUCCAUUAUAUUGGAUAUUCAUAUUCAUGGACAUGUUCUUUAUUUUUGUGUUAUUGUUUUUUGUUUUUUUUUUCUAAAUCUUCUUUAAUAUAUGACUUCUAUUUUUCUAUUGUGUAUUAGAUAAUUGUACAUUGUUAUGUGUAAUGUUGCUGUUUCUGUAAUCUGCCACAGGACUACUGAAGGACAUUUGCUAAGUUAUGUUUACAUCGCAUGUUUGUAAUGAUGUUCAUUAACUUGUUCUGUCUCCUUCAAAUAGACAAAUAAAACAAUAUAACAGUAAAACAA